CGUAGGGUGCAAGCGUUAAUCGGAAUUACUGGGCGUAAAGCGUGCGCAGGCGGUUGUGCAAGACAGGUGUGAAAUCCCCGGGCUUAACCUGGGAACUGCACUUGUGACUGCACGGCUGGAGUACGGCAGAGGGGGAUGGAAUUCCGCGUGGUAGCAGUGAAAUGCGUAGAUAUGCGGAGGAACACCGAUGGCGAAGGCAGUCCCCUGGGCCUGUACUGACGCUCAUGCACGAAAGCGUGGGGAGCAAACAGGAUUAGAUACCCUGGUAGUCCACGCCCUAAACGAUGUCAACUGGUUGUUGGGAAGGUUUCUUCUCAGUAACGUAGCUAACGCGUGAAGUUGACCGCCUGGGGAGUACGGCCGCAAGGUUG
Molecule: ribosomal RNA, 371 nt
Filed under: uncultured organism
Description: bacterial SSU rRNA
Rfam family: Bacterial small subunit ribosomal RNA
Source: RNAcentral